ACGGAAUAGAUACCCUGGUAGUCCACGCCCUAAACGAUGUCUACUAGUUGUUGGUGGAGUAAAAUCCAUGAGUAAACGCAGCUAAACGCGUGAAGUAGACCGCCUGGGGAGUACGGUCGCAAGAUUAAAACUCAAAUGAAUUGACGGGGGCCCGCACAAGCGGUGGAUUAUGUGGAUCAAUUCGAUGCAACGCGAAAAACCUUACCUGGCCUUGACAUGUAACGAACUUUCCAGAGAUGGAUUGGUGCUCGAAAGAGAACGUUAACACAGGUGCUGCAUGGCUGUCGUCAGCUCGUGUCGUGAGAUGUUGGGUUAAGUCCCGCAACGAGCGCAACCCUUGCCAUUAAUUGCCAUCAUUUAGUUGGGCACUUUAAUGGGACUGCCGGUGACAAACCGGAGGAAGGUGGGGAUGACGUCAAGUCCUCAUGGCCCUUAUGGUCCAGGGCUUCACACGUAAUACAAUGGUCGGUACAGAGGGUUUGCCAACCCGCGAGGGGUAGCCAAUCCCAGAAAGCCGAUCGUAGUCCGGAUUGUAGUCUGCAACUC
This 546-nucleotide ribosomal RNA is filed under the name uncultured bacterium. RNAcentral's name for it is "bacterial SSU rRNA". It matches the Rfam family "Bacterial small subunit ribosomal RNA", at positions 772 to 1313 of the family's 1533-position model. The record is from RNAcentral.